Molecule: ribosomal RNA, 520 nt
Filed under: uncultured Glomus
Lineage: Eukaryota; Fungi; Glomeromycota; Glomeromycetes; Glomerales; Glomeraceae
Description: SSU rRNA
Rfam family: Eukaryotic small subunit ribosomal RNA
Source: RNAcentral
AGCAGCCGCGGUAAUUCCAGCUCCAAUAGCGUAUAUUAAAGUUGUUGCAGUUAAAAAGCUCGUAGUUGAAUUUCGGGGUUAGUAGGUUGGUCGUGCCUCAGGUAUGCACUGAUCUCACUGAUUCCUCCUUCCUGAUGAACCGUAAUGCCAUUAAUUUGGUGUUGCGGGGAAACUGGACUGUUACUUUGAAAAAAAUUAGAGUGUUUAAAGCAGGCUAACGCUUGAAUACAUUAGCAUGGAAUAAUGAAAUAGGACGUUCGAUCCUAUUUUGUUGGUUUCUAGGAUUGACGUAAUGAUUAAUAGGGAUAGUUGGGGGGCAUUAGUAUUCAAUUGUCAGAGGUGAAAUUCUUGGAUUUAUUGAAGACUAACUACUGCGAAAGCAUUUGCCAAGGAUGUUUUCAUUAAUCAAGAACGAAAGUUAGGGGAUCGAAGACGAUCAGAUACCGUCGUAGUCUUAACCAUAAACUAUGCCGACUAGGGAUCGGAUGAUGUUAAUUUUUUAAUGUACUCAUUCGGCGUC